Molecule: ribosomal RNA, 127 nt
Organism: Microcebus murinus (gray mouse lemur)
Lineage: Eukaryota; Metazoa; Chordata; Mammalia; Primates; Cheirogaleidae
Source: Ensembl
GUCUAUGGCCAUACCACCCUGAACGUGCCUGAUCUCAUCUGACCUUGGCAGCUAAACAGGGCCAGGCCUGCUCAGCACUUGAAUGGCAGAAUUUCCUUCCUUGUUUUGCAGCUGGCACACUUUGAUU